Molecule: non-coding RNA, 3208 nt
Organism: Rattus norvegicus (Norway rat)
Lineage: Eukaryota; Metazoa; Chordata; Mammalia; Rodentia; Muridae
Source: RefSeq, a predicted model, not a curated record
UGCUGGGAUUCUGUAGGACCUAAGAUGGGCUUCCAGAGAUUUUUGAAGAAACACACAGAAGUUCCAAGCUCACUCUCAAAGGCAGCAAGCAUUCAAGCAGAGGCAAGCCGGGUUCUUCCAGAGCAGAAGAACAGUUCACAUCCUCGGUCUUCCCCACCCACCGGCUGUGUGCAGAGGGCCUCACGUGAUGCAUGAGUGCUUGUCUGUGCAUCGUGUGUGUCCGUGACGCCUGCGGAGGCCAGAAGGGAGUGUUGGAUGCCCUGGAACUGGAGAUACCAUGGUAAAGAACUGCUUUGGGGGGUGCUAGAAACCGAACCCAGGUCCUCUGAGAGAAUAGUGGGUGCUCUUAACUGCUGAGCCAUCUCUCAAGCUGUUUGUUUUUCAACAGGGAUCUGAGGAGAAGGUCUGGGGGUCCCAUAGCUAGGUGGCUCCAGCCCAGAAUAGUGAAUGGAAACACUGAGCUAAGUCCCAGUCACAGGAGGCUGGAGAACCAGAAGCACACCUUAGCCAGGGGACACUAGCCUCCAGCUUUCAAAGACCAAACAGCUGUGGACAAGAGCAGGCUCCCCAAAGCCUCGCUGAGGGACGAGUGUGUUCAGCAGACACCUCCCUUCCUUGUAUGCACAUCUCUGUGCAGACUUUUAUCAAACCCCACCUCCUCUGUCUUGCCCUGUGCUGUUCUGACUCAGACGUUUUUUCGGUGGGACUAGCCUCCUCAUUGAUCCCCCAGAACCCCUCAGUUCAGCAGCUGCUUAGGCGGAUGGAUUCAGCUCCCAGCUAGCUGACUUCCCAGCAGAGCGUCCUGCCCUGUGGCCUUUUGUUACUUUGAGACAGGGUCUGGCUAUGUCGAUUUGGUUGACCUGGAAUUCGCUAUGUAAACCAGCCCAGCCUCAAACUUGCAAGCAAUCGUCCUGCUCCCGACCUACGGAGCGCUGGCAUGACAGUGUGCGACCGUGCCUAGCAGACUUCUUUAUAUUAAACAUUACCUUCCCCAACCUUCCAUCUUUUUACAUUUUACACUGAGUCUUGAGUUGUUCUCCUUCCCAAGAAGUAACUGCCACUUGAGGCCAGCCCACGGCACCCUAAAGACCGCGUGCUCUAUUCCCUCCACGACAGGACUGGGGAACUUGAGACAGUGUCCUCCUCUAGACACCAUUCUUGUGUCCCAGCCUGGCCACAGGUACCAUGAGGACCGGACAUCACUGUCUCCUUGUCUCUAGACCCUGGGUCUGACUGGUGUUCAGCACCCAGUGGGAUGGAGCAAACCUGUCCAACAAGCGAAGGAAAGACAGAGCCAUCCAGAUGACGCUGCCUAGUUCCAAAGUCAGCCCAGCGCCUGGGCUGCUCAGGCUGGAACGGACAGCUGUAUUGUUUGCCUUUUAUAGAAAGUUUCUGGGGUUUUCUGCUUGAGGAAAAUCUAAUCCGUAUGCUUCUGACUCAUGUGUGUUCUUCCCCGUAAAACUGUGGUUCUAGGGGGCCAUUUCGUGUCUGAAACUAAAACCCGGUCUCUUCCAUGGUCCCGUUUUCCUCCUGUGGGCGUCGUCGGAAAGUUUGUCUACACUCAGAGUGACUCAGGGCAAGUCCCUUAACCCUCCAGGUGAGUGGGGAACGGCAGAGCCCCAGGGGGAGGUCCCCUAGCUCCAUUCCCUCCCCCCAUCACUAGGAAGGGCAGGGAGCCAGGAGCAGCCCCUGGCUGUGAGGCCCUGGCUGGGCAGAGGGGCACAGAGCCACGCAACAUGAAAGGGGUUUGGGUGGGGCUGCCAGGGACGUCAAUCAGAUAAAUAUUUCAUAAUGAGCACUUAAAAGGAAGGGGGCGGGCAUCCGCUGACCACCCCACCCGCUCCCCUCCACUUUCAAGUUCCCUACCCCGUCAUUAGCAGUGUGGAUGUUGAAUGACAGCCGUCUUAAAAGGCCGUUGCCAGCGUGGGCAAGUUGGCUCUUGGAAGGGUGAGUCGGUAAUUACACCUGUCCCUGGGUUUCUAAUGCUCACUGCACCCAGGAAAGUUGGGGGAAGCAUGACUUGAGGAGUUUCCGCUGCUCGGACCCUAAGCACAGGGUCGGGGCAGCUUUGAGGGCUCCCUCCAAUUCUAUAUGCUGCCACCACCUCCUGAGUGUUGGGAUUUCAGGGGUGCACGGCCGGGGGCUGUUUCGGCGGUGCUGGGGACUGGAUGCAGGGCUUCCUGUAUGCAAGCGAACACUCGGCAUUCCUGUUUGACUUUGCAGGGAAUGCGUGUCAGACUGUGAGGAUACUGGAAAUGCAGCCUCCAGUGACAUAAGCACAUCCUUCUUUUCCCCAGAGGAGCUGGAAGGGAUCCUGGUCUUAAUCCCAACACAGAUCCGGGGCUUACAGAGAUCCCCCAGGGACAGCAGCCACUAAGCCUGGUGAGCCUCCAGGGUUUCUCUGGCUGGCCUCAAACUCACAGAGAUCUGACUGCCUCAGCCUCCCAAGUGCUGUGAUUAAAGGCAUAAGCCACCACCAGUAAAGUGGCUCCAGGCUCCAGUAGUCUGAUUUAAAAAAAAAAAAAGAUGGAGGGCACUGGCUCAUCUUCCAAAGGACCCAGGUUCAAUUCCCAGCGCCCAGGUAGCACCUCUUCUCUCCUUUUCCUACUUCUCCUUCCUCCUCUCCAAUUCCACCCCCUUGCACAGACAUACAUGCAGGCAGAACGCCAAUGCACAUAAAAUAAAUAAAUCAUUUUUAGAAAUGUUGGAUGGGGGAGGGGCUGUGGACCCAGGGGGAGUGGGCUGGCUGUCUUGGUUUGCAGAUGGACCAGGUAAGGCCGAGCAUGUGUCACUGAAAGCUCAGCGUGCAGUGCGGGGAACCCAAGGGAUUCCUGCACCCUCUGCUUGUGUGGAGUCACUCGACCUCCCUAUCCUAUCAGAGAGAGCCUGGCAAGGAGAAUGCGGACCGAGCUCUCUGGAGUUUAGUUUCCACCAUCCGCCAUUUUCUUCCCUCUGCAGGGCCCGUGCCCUCCGCCGGGUCUCGCAGUCCCUACCUUCCGCACCACCGUCCCCCAGGCCCCUGCACAAAGCUGAGUUAUCUCAGACUGCACGGUGGAAGUGCGCAGCAAUGCACGCACUGAACCCGGCUGAGGCCAUCAGAAAGAUCUACUAACCCAGGUUGUGACGGGAGGUAAUUUGCAUGUCCUAAUAUUCAGAAGGGUGGGAACAGCACUGACACUUGAGCAAAUAAAACCUCAUUUGCAAAUUU